UUCGCCAGUGGCUUCAAGAGAGCCUUCAAGAUCAAUGAUUUUGCCAACACGAUCCCGGGUCACGGUGGCAUUAUGGACCAGUUCGACUGCCAGUACCUCAUUGCUACAUUUGUUAACGUCUACAUUGCCAGCUUCAUCAGGGGCCCGAACCCCAGCAAGGUGAUCCAGCAGCUCCUGGCGC
Molecule: long non-coding RNA, 181 nt
Organism: Gymnodraco acuticeps
Lineage: Eukaryota; Metazoa; Chordata; Actinopteri; Perciformes; Bathydraconidae
Exons: 3
Source: RefSeq, a predicted model, not a curated record